AAUGAACGCUGGCGGCGUGCUUAACACAUGCAAGUCAAACGGUAACAGAGGAGCUUGCUCCUGCUGACGAGUGGCGCACGGGUGAGUAAUGCAUAGGUAACGUGCCCCUUAGUCUGGGAUAGCCACUGGAAACGGUGAUUAAUACUGGAUACUCCUUCUUCCUUAAUGGAAGUUGGGAAAUUUUUUAGCUAAGGGAUCGGCCUAUGUUGUAUCAGGUAGUUGGUGAGGUAAUGGCUCACCAAGCCUAUGACACAUAGCGGGUCUGAGAGGAUGAUCCGCCACACUGGUACUGAGACACGGACCAGACUCCUACGGGAGGCAGCAGUGGGGAAUAUUGCACAACGGACGAAAGUCUGACGCAGCAACGCCGCGUGGAGGAUGACACAUUUCGGUGCGUAAACUCCUUUUAUAUGAGAAGAUAAUGACGGUAUCAUAUGAAUAAGCACCGGCUAACUCCGUGCCAGCAGCCGCGGUAAUACGGAGGGUGCAAGCGUUAUUCGGAAUCACUGGGCGUAAAGGGUGCGUAGGCGGUUUGAUAAGUCUGAUGUGAAAUCCUAUGGCUCAACCAUAGAACUGCAUUGGAAACUGUCAGACUAGAAUACUGAAGGGGCAGAUGGAAUUAGUGGUGUAGGGGUAAAAUCCGUAGAUAUCACUAGGAAUACCGAAAGCGAAAGCGAUCUGCUGGGAAGUUAUUGACGCUGAGGCACGAAAGCGUGGGGAGCAAACGGGAUUAGAUACCCCGGUAGUCCACGCCCUAAACGAAGAAUGCUAGUCGUCGGAAAGCUCGUCUUUUCGGUGAUGCAGUUAACACAUUAAGCAUUCCGCCUGGGGAGUACGGUCGCAAGAUUAAAACUCAAAGGAAUAGACGGGGACCCGCACAAGUGGUGGAGCAUGUGGUUUAAUUCGAAGAUACGCGAAGAACCUUACCAAGCCUUGACAUUGAUUGAAUUCACCAGAGAUGGAGAAGUGCCUUUCGAGGAACAUGAAAACAGGUGCUGCACGGCUGUCGUCAGCUCGUGUCGUGAGAUGUUGGGUUAAGUCCCGCAACGAGCGCAACCCUCGUCGUUAGUUGCUAACAGUUCGGCUGAGCACUCUAGCGAGACUGCCUUCGCAAGGAGGAGGAAGGUGAGGACGACGUCAAGUCAUCAUGGCCCUUAUGGCUUGGGCUACACACGUGCUACAAUGGGGCGUACAGAGAGUUGCGAUACCGCGAGGUGGAGCUAAUCUCAUAAAGCGUCUCUCAGUUCGGAUUGGACUCUGCAACUCGAGUCCAUGAAGCUGGAAUCACUAGUAAUCGUAGAUCAGCAAUGCUACGGUGAAUACGUUCCCGGGUCUUGUACUCACCGCCCGUCACACCAUGGGAGUUGAUUUCACCCGAAAUCGGGAAGCAAACCUUCGGGAUGCUACCGCUUACGGUGGAAUUAGCGACUGGGGUG
This 1436-nucleotide ribosomal RNA is filed under the name uncultured Sulfurimonas sp. Its description in RNAcentral is "bacterial SSU rRNA". It matches the Rfam family "Bacterial small subunit ribosomal RNA". The record is from RNAcentral. Lineage: Bacteria; Pseudomonadati; Campylobacterota; Epsilonproteobacteria; Campylobacterales; Sulfurimonadaceae.